RNAcentral lists this ribosomal RNA (253 nucleotides) under uncultured bacterium. RNAcentral describes it as "partial 16S ribosomal RNA". It matches the Rfam family "Archaeal small subunit ribosomal RNA", at positions 474 to 727 of the family's 1478-position model. The record is from RNAcentral.
UACCAGCACCCCGAGUGGUCGGGACGUUUAUUGAGCCUAAAGCAUCCGUAGCCGGUUCUACAAGUCUUCCGUUAAAUCCAGCUGCUUAACAGAUGGGCUGCGGAAGAUACUAUGGAGCUAGGAGGCGGGAGAGGCAAGCGGUACUCGAUGGGUAGGGGUAAAAUCCGUUGAUCCAUUGAAGACCACCAGUGGCGAAGGCGGCUUGCCAGAACGCGCUCGACGGUGAGGGAUGAAAGCUGGGGGAGCAAACCGG